Molecule: ribosomal RNA, 895 nt
Filed under: uncultured bacterium
Lineage: Bacteria
Description: bacterial SSU rRNA
Rfam family: Bacterial small subunit ribosomal RNA
Source: RNAcentral
CGAACGCUGGCGGCGUGCCUAACACAUGCAAGUCGAACGAGAAGUACGUAGCAAUACGUAUUGUAAAGUGGCGCACGGGUGAGUAACACGUGGGUAAUCUGCCCUUGAGUUUGGGAUAACCCCGCGAAAGCGGGGCUAAUACCGGAUAAGACCACGGAGACCAAAGUCUCUGAGGUAAAAGGUGGCCUCUAUUUAUAAGCUACCACUUGAGGAUGAGCCCGCGGCCCAUUAGCUAGUUGGCAGGGUAACGGCCUACCAAGGCAAUGAUGGGUAGCUGGUCUGAGAGGACGAUCAGCCACACUGGAACUGAGACACGGUCCAGACUCCUACGGGAGGCAGCAGUGGGGAAUAUUGCGCAAUGGGCGAAAGCCUGACGCAGCAACGCCGCGUGGGGGAUGAAGGUUCUCGGAUUGUAAACCCCUUUCGAUCGGAACGAAUCCCCUCCUGGUAAAUAAUCAGGAGGAUCGACGGUACCGAGAGAAGAAGCCACGGCUAACUCUGUGCCAGCAGCCGCGGUAAGACAGAGGUGGCGAGCGUUGUUCGGAUUUAUUGGGCGUAAAGCGAACGCAGGUGGUUUGGUAAGUCAGGGGUGAAAGACCACAGCUUGACUGUGGCAUUGCCUUUGAUACUGCCUUUCUUGAGUAGAGUAGGGGGAAGCGGAAUUCCGAGUGUAGAGGUGAAAUUCGUAGAUAUUCGGAGGAACACCGGUGGCGAAGGCGGCUUCCUGGACUCUAACUGACACUCAUGUUCGAAAGCGUGGGGAGCAAACAGGAUUAGAUACCCUGGUAGUCCACGCCCUAAACGAUGGGCACUAGGUGUGGGAGGUAUCGACCCCUUCCGUGCCGCAGCUAACGCAUUAAGUGCCCCGCCUGGGGAGUACGGCCGCAAGGUUGAA